This 1311-nucleotide non-coding RNA is filed under the name Pongo abelii (Sumatran orangutan). The record is from RNAcentral. Lineage: Eukaryota; Metazoa; Chordata; Mammalia; Primates; Hominidae.
AGUGAACUGCCUCUCUCCGAUUGGUUUUGCCCGAGUUUUAUUUUUGUCUGUCUCAGCUAGAAAGUGGGAGACUUUCAUUUAAAAUGGAAAUUGGAGCGAGGGGUCGGCGGCUGGGUGAAGGGAGCAUUCAAAAGCGUAGAAUGUCACUUUACCCGAGAAAUUCACUACGAUGGGCCAUUGGUUCCUGCUCGGCUCGCAGGCGCACUGCACGAGUGGAGGCGUGGCUAGUGGCUGUGAUGAGAUAAAUCCAUGCAUAGCCUUUUCAUUGCGAGCUUGAAAGUUCUUUUCUAUUACAGUUUUAGCUUUAGGUUUAAUUGGUUCGACUGCCUUCUUCACAAUUUGGGCGAGUAUUUCUUUUGCCUUCUCAGCAAAAGUUCUGCGGACCCGUCUGGGUCAACUUUCAUGAGGGACAUUGAGACAAACAAAUGAAAUAUUGGUCAAAGUACUCUGAGCAGCUACAAAAAGAAGACCAGCCUAUCCUGCUGGAGACAGUAGCCACGUGAAGAAAGAGCCCUUGGAGUAUGAAAGACCACAUGGAAAGAGAGGCCACAUGGAACCAACAGUCAGCAUCUUGGUUUCGGACAUGUGAAGAAAUUCAUCUCAGACUGUGUAUCCUAAAUCAGGCACUUGCUGAAUGCAACUACAUGAGUGAGACCAGUUGACAACACAUGGAGCAGACAUGAGCUGUUCUCAGUGAGUCCUACACAAAUUCCUGACUCACAAAAUUGUGAGCAAUAAAAUGGUUGUUAUUUUAAGCCACUGAAGUUUGCAGUGAUUUCUUACAUAGGAAUAGAUAAAAUGAAACACAAACAUUGAUCAUUUGCAUCUUCUAUCUUUUUUAUGACUAGUCUUAUUGGAAAUUACCAGUUUAUUUCUGCCAUGGUUAGAAAACAAACUCUGAAAUUUUGAUACUUUAAAGUUUUUUUGAGACUUACUGUGCCCAGAAUAUAGUCUAUCUUGGUAAAUGUUCUGUGAGCACUAGACAAGAAUAUGUAUUCUGGAGUUAUUGAGCAUUGUGUCCAUCAAUGUCAACGUGAUUAAGGUGGUUAAUAGUUUUCUUCAGAUCUUCUAUAUUGUAUUGAUUGUUUUUUGUGUAGUGUUACUAUUAAUUAUUGAGAUAGGAGUGUAAACCUUAAACUAUCGUUGUGAAUUUGCCACUUCCUUUAGUUUUGUCAGCUUUUCUUUUGCAUUUUUGAAGCUCUGUUAUUGGGCAUAUAAACAUUUAUGGUUCUUGUGUCUUCCUGAUGAAUUGACCAUUUUAUCAUUAUGAAAUGUCUUUAUCGCUGAUAAUACUCCUUAUCUUGAAGUCUA